GCUCUGAUGGCCAAGUUGGCAAGGCGUAUCACUAGUACAGACAAAGAAGCUAAUGGCGAGAUCAACAGUUCAAAUCCGUUUCGGAGCA
This is a non-coding RNA of Tuber brumale (winter truffle), 88 nucleotides long. The record is from the annotation of a GenBank genome assembly. NCBI's taxonomy places the organism in Eukaryota, Fungi, Ascomycota, Pezizomycetes, Pezizales, Tuberaceae.